This 100-nucleotide small RNA is filed under the name Pan troglodytes (chimpanzee). RNAcentral describes it as "processed transcript". The record is from RNAcentral. Lineage: Eukaryota; Metazoa; Chordata; Mammalia; Primates; Hominidae.
CAAGGAUGAACCCCCUACAUUAGAGAGUACUGUACAGAAGAAGAGGAAAGCUCAGGCUCUGGGAAUAUGGUGCUGAAUAAGAAACACACUGUCCCUACAG